UACAGAGGGGGCAAGCGUUAUUCGGAAUUAUUGGGCGUAAAGGGCGCGUAGGCGGCUUGGCAAGUGGAUGGUGAAAUCCCUCGGCUUAACCGAGGAACGGCCGUCCAAACUGCUUCGCUUGAGACCGGGAGAGGUGAGUGGAAUUCCCAGUGUAGCGGUGAAAUGCGUAGAUAUUGGGAGGAACACCAGUGGCGAAGGCGGCUCACUGGACCGGUACUGACGCUGAAGCGCGAAAGCGUGGGGAGCAAACAGG
RNAcentral lists this ribosomal RNA (253 nucleotides) under uncultured bacterium. RNAcentral describes it as "partial 16S ribosomal RNA". It matches the Rfam family "Bacterial small subunit ribosomal RNA", at positions 524 to 776 of the family's 1533-position model. The record is from RNAcentral.